Molecule: unclassified non-coding RNA, 291 nt
Filed under: Melitaea cinxia (Glanville fritillary)
Lineage: Eukaryota; Metazoa; Arthropoda; Insecta; Lepidoptera; Nymphalidae
Description: misc RNA ENSMCXG00005019448.1
Source: RNAcentral
AGAAUACUUGGGGUGUGAUCUACAAUCGAUACCGAAGUCAAAAAUAUAGUUUUUAGAAUUUUCGUCUGUUUGUCUGUAUGUAUGUGCGGGAUAAACUCAAAAAUUACCGCAUGGAUUUACUUCAAAUUUGACAAGACAAUUUUAAAGCAGCGCCAUCUAUGAGAUUUUUCUGUAGAUAUGAAAUGUAAAGAAGAAACGGGUAAAUGAAUGUUAUUUUAAAAGGUAUAAUCGUAGGUAUUUUUGGUGCUGUAUAGCGUUCACGCAGACGACGUCGCGGGCAGCAGCUAGUAA